This 497-nucleotide ribosomal RNA is filed under the name uncultured bacterium. RNAcentral describes it as "partial 16S ribosomal RNA". It matches the Rfam family "Bacterial small subunit ribosomal RNA", at positions 28 to 507 of the family's 1533-position model. The record is from RNAcentral.
GACGAACGCUGGCGGCGUGCCUAAUACAUGCAAGUUGAGCGCUGAAGGUUGGUACUUGUACCAACUGGAUGAGCAGCGAACGGGUGAGUAACGCGUGGGGAAUCUGCCUUUGAGCGGGGGACAACAUUUGGAAACGAAUGCUAAUACCGCAUAAAAACUUUAAACACAAGUUUUAAGUUUGAAAGAUGCAAUUGCAUCACUCAAAGAUGAUCCCGCGUUGUAUUAGCUAGUUGGUGAGGUAAAGGCUCACCAAGGCGAUGAUACAUAGCCGACCUGAGAGGGUGAUCGGCCAAAUUGGGACUGAGACACGGCCCAAACUCCUACGGGAGGCAGCAGUAGGGAAUCUUCGGCAAUGGACGAAAGUCUGACCGAGCAACGCCGCGUGAGUGAAGAAGGUUGUCGGAUCGUAAAACUCUGUUGGUAGAGAAGAACGUUGGUGAGAGUGGAAAGCUCAUCAAGUGACGGUAACUACCCAGAAAGGGACGGCUAACUACGUG